UGGCGGUCGCGCAUCUGCAUCAAUUCGCCCUUUAUCUUUGUGAUUUUUUUCCGUUUUAAGGCAUUAUGAGCGCUGACGGAAAGAUAGCAAGCUGAAGCGGAGUGUUUUAGUGACUGUUACCAACCGCGCUGUGUGAAAAGGUUGAGCCUGUACGAGGCGGCAGGCAAGGGAGUCUUUGUCGCGAU
This is a long non-coding RNA of Ornithodoros turicata, 185 nucleotides long. RefSeq lists it as uncharacterized. The record is from RefSeq and is a predicted model, not a curated record. The transcript has 3 exons. NCBI's taxonomy places the organism in Eukaryota, Metazoa, Arthropoda, Arachnida, Ixodida, Argasidae.